Eumeta japonica is the source of this 110-nucleotide non-coding RNA. The record is from the annotation of a GenBank genome assembly. Lineage: Eukaryota; Metazoa; Arthropoda; Insecta; Lepidoptera; Psychidae.
CGUCUACAUCAGGUAGUAAUACACCGGUUCUCAUCUAAUCACCGAAGUCGAGCAGAGUCGGGCGCGGUCACUAAUUGAAUGGGUGACCGCCUGAGAAUACCGCGUAGUGU